CAGCCGUAAACUAUGCUCGCUAGGUGUCAGGCAUGGCGCGACCGUGUCUGGUGCCGCAGGGAAGCCGUGAAGCGAGCCACCUGGGAAGUACGGCCGCAAGGCUGAAACUUAAAGGAAUUGGCGGGGGAGCACAACAACGGGUGGAGCCUGCGGUUUAAUUGGACUCAACGCCGGACAACUCACCGGGGACGACAGCAAUAUGUAGGCCAGGCUGAAGACCUCGCCUGAAUCGCUGAGAGGAGGUGCAUGGCGUAGUCGUGU
This 261-nucleotide ribosomal RNA is filed under the name uncultured archaeon. Its description in RNAcentral is "partial 16S ribosomal RNA". It matches the Rfam family "Archaeal small subunit ribosomal RNA", at positions 748 to 1009 of the family's 1478-position model. The record is from RNAcentral.